GACGAACGCUGGCGGCGUGCCUAAUACAUGCAAGUUGAGCGCUGAAGGUUGGUACUUGUACCAACUGGAUGAGCAGCGAACGGGUGAGUAACGCGUGGGGAAUCUGCCUUUGAGCGGGGGACAACAUCUGGAAACGAAUGCUAAUACCGCAUAAAAACUUUAAACACAAGUUUUAAGUUUGAAAGAUGCAAUUGCAUCACUCAAAGAUGAUCCCGCGUUGUAUUAGCUAGGUGGUGAGGUAAAGGCGCACCAAGGCGAUGAUACAUAGCCGACCUGAGAGGGUGGUCGGCCACAUUGGGACUGAGACACGGCCCAAACGCCUACGGGAGGCAGCAGUAGGGAAUCUUCAGCAAUGGACGAAAGUCUGACCGAGCAACGCCGCGGGAGUGAAGAAGGUUUUCGGAUCGUAAAACUCGGUUGGUAGAGAAGAACGUUGGUGAGAGUGGAAAGCUCAUCAAGUGACGGUAACUACACAGAAAGGGACGGCUAACUACGUG
RNAcentral lists this ribosomal RNA (497 nucleotides) under uncultured bacterium. Its description in RNAcentral is "partial 16S ribosomal RNA". It matches the Rfam family "Bacterial small subunit ribosomal RNA", at positions 28 to 507 of the family's 1533-position model. The record is from RNAcentral.